RNAcentral lists this ribosomal RNA (322 nucleotides) under uncultured eukaryote. RNAcentral describes it as "partial 18S ribosomal RNA". It matches the Rfam family "Eukaryotic small subunit ribosomal RNA", at positions 1470 to 1796 of the family's 1831-position model. The record is from RNAcentral.
CCCUUAGAUGUUCUGGGCCGCACGCGUGCUAGACUGAGUGGAUCAGCGGGUCAGGUUGCGCGAAAGCGUUUCCUAAUCUUUAAAUCCGCUCGUGAUGGGGAUUGACGGUUGCAAUUUUCUGUCAUGAACGAGGAAUACCUUGUAAGCGCGGGUCAUCAUCCCGCGCUGAAUACGUCCCUGCCCUUUGUACACACCGCCCGUCGCUCCUACCGAUUGAGUGGUCCGGUGAGGCUUUGGGAUCUGAGCGGAAAGAGCGUUUCGCUGUUUCUGCUCGGAAAACUCAGUCGAACCUUAUCAUUUAGAGGAAGGAGAAGUCGUAACA